GGUUGCGUGGCUCAGUGGCAAGAGCCUGGGCUUGAGAGUCAGAGAUCAUGGGUUCGAAUCCCGGCUCUGCCA
Molecule: transfer RNA, 72 nt
Filed under: Ornithorhynchus anatinus (platypus)
Lineage: Eukaryota; Metazoa; Chordata; Mammalia; Monotremata; Ornithorhynchidae
Rfam family: tRNA
About the family: Transfer RNA (tRNA) molecules are approximately 80 nucleotides in length. Their secondary structure includes four short double-helical elements and three loops (D, anti-codon, and T loops). Further hydrogen bonds mediate the characteristic L-shaped molecular structure. tRNAs have two regions of fundamental functional importance: the anti-codon, which is responsible for specific mRNA codon recognition, and the 3' end, to which the tRNAs corresponding amino acid is attached (by aminoacyl-tRNA synthetases). tRNAs cope with the degeneracy of the genetic code in two manners: having more than one tRNA (with a specific anti-codon) for a particular amino acid; and 'wobble' base-pairing, i.e. permitting non-standard base-pairing at the 3rd anti-codon position.
Source: Rfam by way of RNAcentral